Molecule: ribosomal RNA, 617 nt
Filed under: uncultured bacterium
Lineage: Bacteria
Description: bacterial SSU rRNA
Rfam family: Bacterial small subunit ribosomal RNA
Source: RNAcentral
UAAAGAAUUUCGGUAUGGGAUGGGGAUGCGUUCCAUUAGUUAGUUGGCGGGGUAACGGCCCACCAAGACGACGAUGGAUAGGGGUUCUGAGAGGAAGGUCCCCCACAUUGGAACUGAGACACGGUCCAAACUCCUACGGGAGGCAGCAGUGAGGAAUAUUGGUCAAUGGACGAGAGUCUGAACCAGCCAAGUAGCGUGAAGGAUGACUGCCCUAUGGGUUGUAAACUUCUUUUAUAUGGGAAUAAAACGUUCCACGUGUGGGAUUUUGUAUGUACCAUAUGAAUAAGGAUCGGCUAACUCCGUGCCAGCAGCCGCGGUAAUACGGAGGAUCCGAGCGUUAUCCGGAUUUAUUGGGUUUAAAGGGAGCGUAGGUGGAUUGUUAAGUCAGUUGUGAAAGUUUGCGGCUCAACCGUAAAAUUGCAGUUGAAACUGGCAGUCUUGAGUACAGUAGAGGUGGGCGGAAUUCGUGGUGUAGCGGUGAAAUGCUUAGAUAUCACGAAGAACUCCGAUUGCGAAGGCAGCUCACUGGACUGCAACUGACACUGAGGCUCGAAAGUGUGGGUAUCAAACAGGAUUAGAUACCCUGGUAGUCCACACAGUAAACGAUGAAUACUCGC